This 475-nucleotide ribosomal RNA is filed under the name unidentified nematode Sourhope farm. RNAcentral's name for it is "SSU rRNA". It matches the Rfam family "Eukaryotic small subunit ribosomal RNA", at positions 58 to 529 of the family's 1831-position model. Lineage: Eukaryota; Metazoa; Nematoda. The record is from RNAcentral.
UCUAAGCACGUGCCUCGAUACGGUGAAGCCGCGAAUAGCUCAUUACAACAGCCACCGUUUAUUAGAAUAUCGUUGUCCUACUUGGAUAACUGUGGCAAUUCUAGAGCUAAUACAUGCGAGAAGGCUCGGACCGCGAGGAACGAGCGCAUUUAUUAGAAUAAAAACCAAUCGGGCCUCGCGCCCGUCUCUUGGUGAAUCUGAAUAACUUUGCCGAUCGCACGGUCCUAGCACCGGCGACGUAUCUUUCAAGUGUCUGCCUUAUCAACUUUCGAUGGUAGGUUACACGCCUACCAUGGUGUUAACGGGUAACGGAGAAUUAGGGUUCGACUCCGGAGAGGGAGCCUGAGAAACGGCUACCACAUCCAAGGAAGGCAGCAGGCGCGCAAAUUACCCACUCCCGGUACGGGGAGGUAGUGACGAAAAAUAACGAGACAGUCCUCUUCGAGGUCUGUCAUCGGAAUGGGUACAAUUUAAA